Non-coding RNA from Apiotrichum porosum, 101 nucleotides. Lineage: Eukaryota; Fungi; Basidiomycota; Tremellomycetes; Trichosporonales; Trichosporonaceae. The record is from the annotation of a RefSeq genome assembly.
GGCGAUUUAGCUCAGUUGGUUAGAGCGUGUGCUUAACACUUGGAUCCUCCAGUGGUCGUUUGUUGCGCACAAGGUCGGCGGUUCGACCCCGUCAAACGUCA